This 396-nucleotide ribosomal RNA is filed under the name uncultured bacterium. RNAcentral's name for it is "bacterial SSU rRNA". It matches the Rfam family "Bacterial small subunit ribosomal RNA", at positions 362 to 775 of the family's 1533-position model. The record is from RNAcentral.
UAUUGGACAAUGGGCGAAAGCCUGAUCCAGCCAUGCCGCGUGAGUGAUGAAGGCCCUAGGGUUGUAAAGCUCUUUCGUGCGGGAAGAUAAUGACGGUACCGCAAGAAUAAGCCCCGGCUAACUUUGUGCCAGCAGCCGCGGUAAUACGAAGGGGGCUAGCGUUGCUCGGAAUCACUGGGCGUAAAGGGUGCGUAGGCGGGUUCUUAAGUCAGAGGUGAAAUCCUGGAGCUCAACUCCAGAACUGCCUUUGAUACUGAGAGUCUUGAGUAUGACAGAGGUGAGUGGAACUGCGAGUGUAGAGGUGAAAUUCGUAGAUAUUCGCAAGAACACCAGUGGCGAAGGCGGCUCACUGGGUCAUUACUGACGCUGAGGCACGAAAGCGUGGGGAGCAAACAG